GACAAGCUCGGUCAGGUCAUCGCUCGGCGACCGUUCGGUGGUGCCGCUGAUAAGAUGCCCUUCUUGUUGCGCUCGUGUGAAGUUCUAUCUCUCGAACACGGAGAAGCACAAGGGCUGGGUCUUCUGCAGGUGUCAUGUUGGUGUAAGUGGAGUGCAUCCGUUGGCGUUUGUUAAUUUUGGUCGAUUUUUGUGGAAUUUGUGAUGGUGAUUUUUGGCGUCUGUUCGUUUCUUUUGAUCUUCAGGACCAUUUCUGGCAUUGGGAGUUGUAAUACGUUGUCUACUUACUGGAUAAUCAGUUUCACGUUGGCAAUGAAGCCGUACGUGCAUUAGGAGCUGCAGAGGAUAGGAGGGAAGAGCUGAUGCGAGCAAGGAAUCGAAGAUAUGCAGGUGGAGGUGCAGUUGAUCUUUCAGGCUUUGAAGAUGGAAUUCAUGGAAGAGUUGCUGCUCAAAUGAGAAAUCAGCAAGCAGAGGCACUCGUGGGAUUAGCCAAUCAAAUAUUGGUGAUGAUGAAGGCACUGGUGGCAGCACUCAUUGUACUUGCAGUGCUCGUAGCUAUUUCUCUGCUGAAGAAGUGAUGGAGUUGAUGCAGUGUUUCCAGUAGCAUGAUGCCUAGUUUGUUAGGAGAUGAACUGGUAGUAUGAAGUGAUGCUUUUGCAUUAUAAGUCUAAAGUUGAUGUAGUUUCCAGUUUGCAGCUGGAGUUGAUGUAGUGUUGUUAGUCUGAAGUGACAAUCUUUUGCAUUGUAAGUGAUGCUUUUGCAAUAUGUAAGCAAGUGACAAUCUGUUACUGCAAAUGAAAGUUAAUUUGGCUUGUUGAAACUAUUGAUGAUGUCAUAUGAAGAUAUUAUUUUUAUGCAAGUUGAUUCUGUGUACAUUAGGACACGAUGCAGAUAAAAUGGAAGUUAAUGUUCUGCAAGUUAUCAUCUUGCUGUCAUAUGAAGAGAUCAUUUUUUUGUUACCAUAUUUGGCUUCUGUGUACAUGGGAAAGCUAUUUGAUGUUGUUAUCAUCUUGCUGUCAUAUUUGGCUUCUGUGUACAUUUGACCAUUGUUAUGAUUGUAGCACAUACAAUUCAGUUACACAAGUGCAUUGAGGGAGAAAAGCAUAUGCAUAAUUAGCACUCCAUAUCUGGGAAGUACCAUCAAAAUUAUGGUUUAUACCAACAAAACAUAUCUGGGAAGUACCAAAAUACACAAGUGCAUUCAGUUACAAAAUGAUCAACAAUUGAUCCAUACUCAUGUGUACACAUCAGUAAGGAUCAAUUAUAACAUUUCUCAUCAGUCACAUACUACUACAUCAUGCCUUGGAGAUUAAGAAGUACAACAUGCUACACAACAGGUACAUCAUCUGAAGAUGUCAAACAUUGAAGUGCUUCUGGUCUUACUGGGAAGCACAAGAUCAUCAUCUGAAUCAGACUGUGGACCUGCAGGCCUUUUGCCAAGGGCAAUACCUAUUAGCCUCAUUUCCUCCUUCCUAGACUCAGCAGCAGCUACCCUACCUGCUCCUUUUCUUGCUACUGCAUCCUCCUUUUGAGCAUUCUUCUGAGCUUGCUGCCUUGCUUUAUUCUCAGCAGCCACAGCUUUGUUGGUCUCCAUAAUGAUCUGCCUUGUCUCUUCCUUAGCUUUCUUUGCUAUUGGAGCUUCUUCUUUUCUCUUCUCUCUCUUCUGAGCUUGUGACUGCCUCUUCCUCUAUGCUUUCAGUGCUUUCCUCUCCUCUUGCUGAUGUCUCUUCCUGGCAGCUUCCUCUGCUUUCUUUUGUUGUUCCUCCCUUCUUGUGACGCCUCAAGACCGGAGCUUCAGAUGCCUUCCAGGGUUUCUGGGUUUCGUCGUGUGAUUUGUUUGGUUCGAUACUUUCAUUUUUUGCAUCAUGUGCAUUGCAUCAUGUCAUCUUGCAACAUGUUUUAAAACUCAACCAAAUAAAAUCGGAUGGAUCUUCGGUCCAUUUAAAUCGAGGGAUAUUCACAUGGUGAAAUUCUCUUUAUAACAUAUAAAAGUCUCCUACUAUUAUUAGGGAGCUAUUGUAAAUAUUCCAUUAACUUGGAAUCACCCAUCACACAAUUGCAUUACUCUUUAACUCCUUCUUCUUGUCCUUGAUCCUUCCUUUUUACUUAUUGCCCAACUUCAACUUGGUUUCACCCAAGUUUCUAUCACAUACAAACUUCUAUUUCCUUCUUUAUUCCAUUUAUUUUUCUUGUGGCAUUUUCACUAUUCGGAAAAAUGUUCAACCUAUCCCUAUAAAUCCUAAAUGAUGCCUACACCCUCUCUGUAACUUCUUUUCUCAAUUGGACUUGUUUUGGUUGGGUUCAAAAAUAGCUCAAGUUUGAAUUUAAUUCAUCCUCUCCGUAACUUGUUCGGAAAAAUUAUUUUUCUAUCUCUAAAAUGUCCAAAACAUUUUAAUCAAAUUGUAUAUAUUACCAGGACCCCAUAAACAUCUUCAUCUCUGUCGAAUUCCAUAUCUACUCUCGCCUUUCUUUUCUUCCAUUUUUCCUGUUUAGAGAAAAGCAAAGGAAGAAAGAAAUAGAGAGAGGGAAGGAUGGCCAGCCCAGCUGGGCCUCCCCAAACCCCCUCGCAGCCAGGCUGGCCAUUUCCACCAAGGUCCAGUCGGCCUCCAAGCCUGAAGCCCAGCCGACACCUCUUAUCUACCCUAGCCUGAUCCCCAGCGCUGGAUCGCUCCUUCACUCGUUCCCCUCCUUCCUCCUAGUGCCGCCGCAGGAGAGGAGCAGUGCCGCACACGCACACACCGACGCCAGGGAGUGCUCCCGGUCCGCCAGCCUUGUUCUUCCCCGCCGCCCCCUGGAGCAGAGCGAUCGCCGCCACCCAAUCGCACCAGGAAGGGUCCCCUCGGUCCCCCUCAUCCUCCUCCCGCAGGCGCCCUCACAGCCGCGCAUGGCCUUCUCCUCCAGCGCGCGCCUCCGCCUCCUGCGACCAUGGACGUGCGCGCGUCCACUCGACCCUGUCGCCUCCGUCUACAGCCAUCGCCGCCUCCUUGCUCGGGAGAGCAAAGGCUCGAUCCCGAGCAGCACGAGCGCUCUGCUUCUCCACCGAAGCUUUCCUCCUGUGCGCCGUCGCGUCCAGGUCCAGCAAGCCGCCGCCGCGCCUUCUAGCCUCCUCCUGAGCCCUGCAUCGAGCCGCCCCGGGCCGCGCAUCGCCAGACGCCGUCCCUGCUGCCGGGGAACCUCGGUUCCACCCGUUCCCCUUCUCGACGCCUUCGAUCCAUCACCUCGCAGAGGAGUGGACCAGCAGCACAAGCCACAUCGAGCCACGGCCAAAAACCUGCCGCGUUGACCAAGGCCCUGCUCAAGCCCUCGAAGUGCACGACUACACGACGCCCGCCAAGUUCGACUACCGCCGACACGUACCUCACCGUCGCCGUGUGUUAUCUUCCGUCAAGAACAAGACGGCCCGAACAUCUACGGAGCCCUGUACCACUAUCGACGCUAGAACGAGACCGACAAGUCUCUUUCCGACUAGUGUACCACUACCGUCGACGAAGACAUGUGCAUCGCAGGCGUCAAGUUCAACUACCGUCGACCGCAAAAGGGCUCGGGGUCAUUAAGCACCUCUUCGAAGGAACGGGAACAAUUACUGUCGCAAAGAUCGAGAGUACCUCUACGAAAAUGCCAAGUACCCCUUCAUGUUGGCAAGACCUGCAAGUCAGACCCCGAACGAUCGACGACUUGUGGACCAUGUACAACUUCAGGCGCCGAACACCCGGGUAGCACAAAUGCCAAGUACCCCAGAGACCACUUGGACGUCAAGUACCGCCGAGCCCCGAAGAACUCGGAUUCGUCAAGUUCCCCUUCGAACAGGGAACAACUACUUCCGUCUACAUUCCUUCGAACCCAAACCGUCCCACACCAUGCACUUCGAAGGUAUAACCGCUGAGCCGAUGACCCCGUGGUUGAAUGCUUGCGAUGUACGAGAUUCACCCUUUUGUUUGCACCGUGUUCAAUUUGUCACUCGUUUCCUUGUCACCAACUCGUGGGACACCCGGAAUCCGAGAGCGCCCCACCAUCUUUUGCACGCAUCCGCACACUUCUCCUUUGCAUUGGUAUCUCAAUCGAGUUACCGGAAUCGGAACGUUGCCGUGGCACCGUUUCAUUAUCGUUGCCGUGGCACCCCUUUCGUUUCUAUCACGAUGACAAAUGCCUCAUAUCUUAUCAUGUCAACAUUUCAAUAGAUACUGCAUAAAACUUGCACAUGUCAUUCGCAUCAUGGUAAUAACAUUUAAAUGUUUAAAAUUGUUGUUGCACCAAAUUGAUAAUUGCAUAUGGGGAUUUACCGGAUUUGUUGUUUGUUAUUUCUGGCCUCAUUUAAACUUGCCUAAAUGUUUAGUUUACUUAUGCUCCACCUCUUGCCAUGUUUAAACAACAUUUAAUAUUGUUGAGUACCUAACCGAGAGAGAACUAAAUAAUUGAUGUGGUGUUUCGUCAAUAUGCAGCCCGAUGCAUAUUGAGCUCCACUUAAUUUGUAGUAUUGUUUGUUGCACUUUGCCAUGCCAUGCCUCUUUAAACCGGACAUGCAUCAUACUUGGUUGUGCAUCAUGACAUGUUUAUGUGAUGGUUGUUUACUAUGUUGUUUGCUUCUUUCCGGUGUUGCUUCUUCGGGUUAGUUCCGAUAAUGUCGCGUUUGUGAGGACCCGUUCGACUACGUCUGAGGGAGUCCUGGAUUAGGGGGUGUUCGGAUAGCCGGACUAUACCUUCAGCCGGACUCCUGGACUAUGAAGAUACAAGAUUGAAGACUUCGUCCCGUGUCCGGGAGGGACUUUCCUUGGCGUGGAAGGCAAGCUUGGUGAUACGGAUAUGUAGAUCUCCUACCAUUGUAACCGACUCUAUGUAACCCUAACCCUAUCCGGUGUCUAUAUAAACCGGAGGGUUUUAGUCCGUAGGACAACAUAGACAACGAUAAUCAUACCAUAGGCUAGCUUCUAGGGUUUAGCCUCCUCGAUCUCGUGGUAGAUCUACUCUUGUACUAUCCAUAUCAUCAAUAUUAACCAAGCAUGACGUAGGGUUUUACCUCCAUCGAGAGGGCCCAAACCUGGGUAAAACUUCGUGUCCCUUGCCUCCUGUUAUCAUCCGGCCUAGACGCACAGUUCGGGACCCCCUACCCGAGAUCCGCCGGUUUUGACACCGACAUUGGUGCUUUCAUUGAGAGUUCCUCUGUGUCAUCGCCGUCAGGCUCGAUGGCCCCUACGAUCAUCAAUAGCGAUGCAGUCCAGGGUGAGACCUUCCUCCCCGGACAUAUCUUCGUCUUCGGCGGCUUCGCACUGCGGGCCAAUUCACUUGGCCGUCUGGAGUAGAUUGAAAGCUACGCCCCUGGCCGUCAGGUCAGAUUUGGAAGUUUAAACUACACGGCUGACGUCCGCGGGGACUUGAUCUUCGACGGAUUCGAGCCACUGCCGAGCGCGCCGCACUGUCCCGACGAGCAUGAUCUAGCUCUGCCGCCGAACAGUGCCCUGAAGGCCGCACCCGCAUCAGCUUCGACCCUUAAUUCGGAGCCAACUGCGCCGAUCGAGGAUGGGCGGUUGGAUGCCACCUCGGGGGCUGCGAUCCCAACAGCGAUUGAGCCGAAUACCAGCCCCGUACUCUGCGAGACUCGUGACUCCAAGGAGCUGGACUCCUCUCCGGACUCCGAACCCUUAGCACCCCUGCCGAUCGAAUCCGAUUGGGCAUCGAUCAUGGAGUUUACUGCUGCAGACAUCUUUCAGCACUCGCCUUUCGGCAAUAUCCUGGAGACACUGAAGUCUCUCUCUUUAUCAGGAGAGCCCUGGCCGGAUUGCGGUCAACAAGGUUGGGGUACGGACGAUGAAGAAAUUCAAAGCCCACACACCACCCACUUUGUAGCCACUGUCGACGAUUUAACCGACAUGCUCGACUUCAACUCCGAAGACAUCGACGGUAUGGACGCCGAUGAAGGAGAUGAUGAAGAAACAGCGCCUACUAGGCCCUGGAAAGCCACCUUGUCAUAUGACAUAUACAUGGUGGACACCCCAAAAGAGGGAGAUGGCGAUGGAACAACGGAGGAUGACCCCUCCAAGAAACAGCCUAAGCGCCGGCGUCAGCGGCGCCGCUCAAAAUCCCGCCAAAACAAAUACGGUGAUUCCAGCACGGGAGACAAUAAUACUCCGGAAAGUGCCGAAGAAAACCCCCUCCAGCAAGAUUUAGCACAGGAGGAUGGAGAAACCAGCCCUCAUGAGAGAGCGGCAGACAGAGAGGUCGAGGACGAUAAUUAUAUGCCUCCCUCCGAAGACGAGGCAAGCCUCAACGACGACGAAUUCGUCGUGCCAGAGGAUCCCGCUGAGCAAGAGCGUUUUCAACGCAGGCUUAUGGCCACGGCAAGAAGCCUCAAGAAAAAACAGCAACAACUUAGAGCUGAUCAAGAUUUUCUAGUCAACAGAUGGACUGAAGUCCUUGCGGCCGAAGAGUAUAAACUCGAACGCCCCUCCAAGAGCUACCCAAAGCGCAGGUUGCUACCCUGAUUAGAGGAGGAAGCACUUGAUGCGGCCGACCGGCCACCUCGUGGCCGCGACAAAGAGGCCUCUCGGCCCUCCACUCAAGCCGCACCCCGUACCAAGGCACGGGAAUAUGCGCCGGACUUAUGAGACAUGUUGGAGGACAAGGCAAGGCAAAUAAGAUCGAUCUACGGAUUGCGUGGGCGCCCCAUGGCUCGAUACGGUAACCAUCACGCCGGCCACAAAUUCGGCAGGGCCGAACACAGUAGACAAAGCUCAUUGGAGCUACGUCAUGAUAUAGCCCAGUACAGAGGCGCCGCACACCCACUAUGCUUUACAGACGAAAUAAUGGAUCAUCAAAUCCUCGAGGGUUUCAAACCCGUAAACAUCGAAUCAUAUGAUGGCACAAUAGAUCCUGUGGUAUGGAUCGAGGAUUAUCUCCUUCAUAUCCAUAUGGCCCGCGGCGAUGAUUUCCACGCCAUCAAAUACCUCCCACUCAAGCUUAAAGGACCAGCUCGGCAUUGGCUCAACAGCUUGCCAACAUGAUCAAUCAGUUGUCGGGAGGACCUAGAAGCCGCAUUCCUCGACAAUUUCCAGGGCACUUAUGUGCGACCCCCAGACGCCGAUGAUCUAAGUCACGUAAUUCAGCAGCCAGAGGAAUCGGCCAGGCAAUUCUGGACACGGUUCCUAACAAAGAAAAAUCAAAUAGUCGACUGUCCGGACGCUGAGGCCCUAGCAGCCUUCAAGCACAAUAUCCGUGACGAGUGGCGGCACCUUGGACAGGAAAAGCCAAAAUCUAUGGCAGCACUCACGACACUCAUGACCCGCUUUUGCGCGGGAGAAGAUAGCUGGCUUGCUCAUAGCAACAAUAUAACCAAGAACCCUGAUAAUUCGGACACCAGGGACAUUAGUGGCAGGUCGCGUCGCAACAAGCAGAAGCGCCGCAUUAACGGCGACAAUGCUGAGGAUACGACAGUUAAUGCCGGAUCCAGAGGCUCUAAAUCCGGUCAGCGGAAAAAGUCAUUCAAAAGGAAUCCUAGGGGCCCAUCCAGUUUGGACCGAAUACUCGACCGCUUGUGCCAGAUACAUGGCACCCCCGAAAAGCCGGUCAAUCACACCAACAGGGUUUGUUGGGUGUUCAAGCAGGCAGGCAAGUUAAAUGCCGAAAAUAAAGACAAGGGGCUGCAUAGCGAUGACGACGAGGAGCCCCGGCCGCCGAACAACAGUGGACAGAAGGGUUUUCCCCCACAAGUGCAGACGGUGAAUAUGAUAUACGCAACCCACAUCCCCAAAAGGGAGCAGAAGCGCGCGUUAAGGGACGUAUACGCGGUAGAGCCAGUCGCCCCAAAGUUCAACCCCUGGUCCUCCUGCCCGAUCACCUUUGAUCGAAGGGACCAUCCCACUAGCAUCCGUCAUGGCGGAUUCACCGCAUUGGUUCUAGACUCAAUCAUUGACGGAUUUCAUCUUACUAGAGUCCUUAUGGACGAUGGCAGCAGCCUGAACCUGCUUUACCAGGAUACAGUGCGGAAAAUGGGCAUAGAUCCCUCGAGGAUUAAGCCCACCAAAACGACCUUUAAAGGCGUAAUACUAGGUGUAGAGGCCAACUGUAUAGGCUCAGUCACACUUGAAGUGGUCUUCGGAUCUCCGGAUAAUUUCCGAAGCGAGGAGUUAAUCUUCGACAUAGUCCCGUUUCGUAGUGGUUAUCACGCACUGCUUGGGCGAACCGCAUUCGCUAAGUUCAAUGCGGUACCGCACUACGCAUACCUUAAGCUCAAGAUGCCAGGCCCUCGAGGAGUAAUUAUAGUCAAUGGAAACACCGAACGCUCCCUCCGAAUGGAGGAGCACACGGCGGCCCUUGAAGCGGAAGUACAAAGCAGCCUAUCCAGGCAGUUCUCCAAUCCGGCCACUAAACGACCGGACACCGUCAAGUGCGCCUGGAGUAACCUACAACAAGACCGCCUGGCACGAUCCGAGCAAGCGUAGCAAUGCGGCCCCAACCCCAACCCUCGCAAAAAGGCGACGCCAGUACUUCGCGUACAUAACUACGCUCUAGAGAUACCAUGGGUACAGGGGAGGGGCACCAUCACGGCACGCCCAAAACACGGCUUAAACCAUAUCAGGGGCUGCCAAUUUUUUAAUUUUCUCUUACUUUCAGGACUCCAUCCUUCGGAAGGCCUGUUCGGCAGUUCAAUUGCCGGACAAACGAUGUAAGAACCAGGGAAGCAGACAAGCCACGCCGCAUUACGGAACUCCCAGGUGGUCUCUAUCACGAGCAGUAUACCUGUUCCGUAUACUAUUCCAUAGCUUGCCCCUGGAACGGACAUGUUAACUAGUCCAACCUUCCACUUAUUGCAUUAUUUGUAUCGUUCUGCUUUGAUCGCAGCCCCUUCUUAAUAAACAAUACAUAGCUUUCGUCUAUUUUUGCAUUACCUUUUUUUGUUUAUAUAUGUUCCUUAAACGACAUGUUGCACCCGUACACGUUGGUACGGCCAAAAUACGCCAGGGGCUUUAGUACCCCUCAAUAUGGUGUGAGAAGUCCGAACACUUUAACAAGUGCGGCACCCCGAACUUAUAGCAUUAUAUGCAUCGGCUCCGAAUCAUGUCUUGGGUCAAUAGUUGGGUUUGCCCGGCUCCUAUGUUUUGGUGCCUUACGUUCCGCUAUAUCGGCUAAGGUAGCACUAGGAGAACCACUACGAUUGUGCCCUAAUUGAGCUGGGUCGAGCACCUCAGUGGAGAAAGCUAAAACUGACUGUCAUGAUGAAGCGAGAGCUGGUCGCUGUUCGAGAGGUUUUUCGAGUCCCUAAAGACUUAUGCCGCUUAGGGCGAGGAGCCGGCUCUGUCCGGCCAAGGCGUGGAGAGCGCCCCGAACUCGGUCUUCCGAAUACCAGGGGCUUUGCCAAAAUUUUAAAUUAUAGAAUUCUAUGGCUAAGUGAGAGUGUUCACGCAUUAUAGUCCGAUUGCCUUGUUCGUUGGGCUGAGCGCCUCCCUCGAAGGACCCAAACAUGGGAAAAAGAGCGCUCAGGUUUAUCCCCGAACACCCAGCACUAGCGGCACGGGGGCAGAAGCCGACGACUCGCCAUCUCUUAGAAUUGAUAAACAGCCGCACGGAAGGUAAUAUUUUAAAUCCCAACAGCAUUGCUUAGCGCAUAUAAACAAGUUUUCAGCGCACAUGACAAAACGAGCAAGUUUCACUCAAAAAUUACAUCCCUAGAACAUUCAUCCGCCACAAGGCAGGCACCCUUCAGAACAUCCUUAUAGUAAUUCUCGGGCUUGCGAUGCUCUUUCCCCGGCGGUGGCCCGUCCUUCACCAGCUUCUUAGCAUCCAGCUUGCCCCAGUGCACCUUAGCACGGGCAAGGGCCCUACGGGCACCUUCAAUGCAGACGGAGUGCUUGAUGACUUUGAGCCUUGGACAGGCCUCCACCAACCGCCGCACCAGCCCGAAAUAGCUCCCAGGCAAAGCCCCUCCAGGCCACAGCCGAACAAUGAGGCCCUUCAUGGCCUGUUCGGCCGCCUUGUGGUGCUCGACCAGUUGCUUCAGCUGGUCGCUCAGGGGCACGGGGUUUCCGGCCUCAGCAUACUGAGACCAGAACACCUUCUGUGUCGAGCUGCCCUCAUCGGCUCGAUAGAAUGCGGCGGCAUCGGACACACUCCGGGGAAGAUCUGCGAACGCUCCUGGAGAUCUCUGGAUUCGGGUAAGUAACAAGUAACUCACGUUUAUGUGUUUGCUUUGCAUAAAGAAUGCCUUACCCGCUGCUAUCUUCUUCACCUCAUCCAACUCCUGGAGGGUCUUCUGGGAUUCGGCCUUGGCAGACUUGGCAUUUUCAAUAGCCACCGCGAGCUCGGACGCUCGCGUCUUUGAGUCAAGCUCCAAACUCUCAUGUUUUUCCAUGAGAGCCUGGAGCUCUUGCCGCACCUUGCCAACCUCGGCCUCAUAUUUCUCCCGCUCGGUGCGCUCCGAGGCCGCCCUCUUCUCGGCCUCGACCAGCGCUUGCUUAAGGGUCGCCACUUCAGACGUGGCCCCUAAAAUAGCCACGAUAAUCCUGUCAUUCUUUGCAAUUGCACCUUUUUAUAUAUUUAAAAACAAGGUAUUUCUUACCUUCAUUAUCCUCGAGCUGCUUCUUGGCACGACCGAGCUCUUCCUCGGACCGCUCGAGGUUCUGCUUUAGCGUGUCCACUUCCGCAGUCAGUGCGGCGGACGCAAGCAGGGAAGCCUACAUAUGCAUAUUGACUCAUUUUUAUUAGACUCCUGCGAAUUCUAUUUGAUCCUCUAUUCGGCUUUUCUUCCUGAACGCCAAACAGAGCAUCAGGGGCUACUGUCUAUGCGGUAGUAUUAUUUACACAUUCUUUACUUACCUCAAAGCCUGUCAAAAGGCUAGUACAAGCUUCAGUUAGUCCGCUCUUGGCGGACUGAACCUUCUGGACCACCGCACUCAUAAUAGUGCGGUGCUCCUCGUCGAUGGAGGCGCCUUGGAGCGCCUCCAACAUAUUGUCCGGCGCCUCCGGUUGGACGGGGGCCGCCGGCAUGGUGGACUUGCUCCUCUUGGAAGGAGGUCCCCCGCCGGACUCGGGAACCUUUGAAGAUUCCGGAGCGGUGUCCGGCCUAGAGCCGGACUAGGAGCCCUGGGGGGUUUCAUCCCCUUUACACCUGGAGUCCGGGAGGUCGCCUUGCGGCGCCUCCAGGACCACCUCCUCCCGGCUUGGAACCUGUUGGGACAACACUUCGGUGUCAUCCGUAGGGCGGGGGGAGGAAGCCGUCGGAAGCGAGUUCACAUCCGACGAGUCCAGUGAGCCGCUCGACGACGCGUCGAGCCGGUCUUUGGGUGGGCUGCAUAAACAUAUUCGACGUAAGGGAAAGCUGUGCAAUAAACGAAUACUAUGAAUUACUCUGGUAUCCGGAUACUUAUGAUUUUGCCAGGGGCUUGGCCCUAGGCUACCACUCCUCUCCGCCGUCAACGUCGGUGGAGUAGUCCGGAGGAAGGGUUUUCCCCAUCUUGGACCCUCCGGCCUCCCCAGAGAGGGAGACCUUCCUUUUCUUCUCUCCUCCCGCUGGAGGGGGAGAGUUCUCCUGUUCUUCCUCCUCGUCUUCACGGGAGGAAUGCGCCUCGGAACCAUCGGAUGAUGGAUUCGACACCUCCUGGCGCCGGGCACUCUUUCGAGUCCCCGCGGCCUUUUUCGCGGCCUUCUUCUCCGGCACCACAUAGGGUGCCGGAACCAGCAGCUUCGCCAAGCGAGCGUCCGCUGGGCCUUCGGGCAGAGGAGCUGGACAGUUGAUCUGUCCGGACAUCACCUGCCAAUCCUGUCAAAGGUAAGGGAGCUUAGAUCCCGCAUGGAGUCAAACUAUGAAAAACUGAUACCCUGUAAAAGGAAAAAACAGCUUACCGCAAGAGCGUGACGCUGCGCACUGAAUCCAUGAUCCUCGGUGCCUUUGAAAAGCACCUUCCAGGCAUCUUCGUAUGUUGUGUCGAAGAGCCUGCUCAGAGUUUGGUGCCGCGCCGGGUCGAACUCCCAUAGGUUGAAAGCCCGUUGUUGACACGGGAGGAUCAGGCGGAUGAGCAUAACCUGGACUACGUUGACAAGUUUGAGCUUCUUGUCCGCCAGGGUUUGGAUGCAUGUUUGGAGUCCGGUCAGCUAUCCUUUUUUACCCCAAGACAGGCCCGUCUCCUUCCAGGAGGUGAGCCGCGUAGGGGGUCCGGAUCGAAACUCGGGGGUGCGACCCAUUCGGCAUCGCGCGACUCGAUGAUGUAAAACCACCCCGAUUGCCACCCCUUCAGGGUUUCCACAAAGGAGCCCUCGAGCCAUAGGACGUUGGCCAUCUUGCCCACCAUGGCACCUCCGCACUCUGCCUGGUUGCCGCGCACCACCUUUGGCUUGACGUUGAAAGUCUUGAGCCAUAGGCCGAAAUGGGGGCGGAUGCGGAGGAAGGCCUCGCACACGACGAUAAACGCCAAGAUAUUGAGGACAAAGUUCAGGGCCAGAUCGUGGAAAUCUAGGCCGUAGUAGAACAUGAGCCCCCAGACGAAUGGGUGGAGAGGGAAGCCCAGUCCGCGGAGGAAAUGGGGGAGGAACACCACCCUCUCAUGGGGCCUAGGGAUGGGGAUGAGCUGCCCCUUUUUGGGAAGCCGGUACGCGAUGUCGUUAGACUGGUAUCCGGCCUUCCUUAGCUUUUUGAUAUGUCCCUCCGUGACAAAGGAGAUCAUCCACUUGCCUCCCGCUCCGGACAUGGCUGGAGAAGGUUGAGGUGGGGAGUGCGGACCUGGGCGCUGGAGCUCGAGUGCGCAAGAAUGGAUAGGCAAAGGAGGAAGAAGGUGUAGGUGAAAAGGUGGAUCUUUAUCCCCUUAUAUGGGUGGACGCAACUACAUGUCCCCAACAGCCUGGUAAAACUCGCUUAUCUCCAAGCGCCGUAAUCAAUGGCGCGGUUGGGUUACCCACGCCCAUAUUGAUGAGAAUCCCGGGAUAAGGGGACACGAUCUCUGCUUUAACAAGACGUGCCAAGGAAACCGCCUCGCAUAACGCGCUGAGGUGGGAUAAUGAAACGACUCGGAUAAAGGCUUGGCCGUGGUGUGUCACGCUACGGAAUACGUCAGCAGAUUAGAUUGGUGUAAAUAUUAUUCUCUCUAUGGCAAUAUGUGGAAACUUAUUUUGCAGAGCCGGACACUAUCUUUGUGUUCAAAAUCUUCUACGAAGUACUUGGAGGAGGAACCCGCCUUGCAAUGCCGAAGACAAUCUGCGCGCCGGACUCGUCAUCAUUGAAGUCUGGUUCAGGGGCUACUGAGGGAGUCCUGGAUUAGGGGGUGUUCGGAUAGCCGGACUAUACCUUCAGCUGGACUCCUGGACUAUGAAGAUACAAGAUUGAAGACUUCGUCCCGUGUCCGGGAGGGACUUUCCUUGGCGUGGAAGGCAAGCUUGGCGAUACGGAUAUGUAGAUCUCCUACCAUUGUAACCGACUCUAUGUAACCCUAACCCUAUCUGGUGUCUAUAUAAACCGGAGGGUUUUAGUCCGUAGGACAACAUAGACAACGAUAAUCAUACCAUAGGCUAGCUUCUAGGGUUUAGCCUCCUCGAUCUCAUGGUAGAUCUACUCUUGUACUACCCAUAUCAUCAAUAUUAAUCAAGCAGGACGUAGGGUUUUACCUCCAUCAAGAGGGCCCGAACCUGGGUAAAAAUUUGUGUCCCUUGCCUCCUGUUACCAUCCGGCCUAGACGCACAGUUCGGGACCCCCUACCCGAGAUCCGCCGGUUUUGACACCGACAACGUCCGUUUGUCUUCUUCAGGGACUCGUUCUUCUUCCUUGCGGGAUUCCAUGUAAGAUGACCAUACCCUCGAAAUCACUUCUAUCUUUGCUUGCUAGUUUGCUCGCUCUAUUGCUAUGCCUAUGCUACGAUACCUACCACUUGCUUAUCAUGCCUCCCAUAUUGCUAAGCCAAGUCUCUAACCCACCUUGUCCUAGCAAACCCUUGUUUGGCUAUGUUACUGCUUUGCUCAGCCCCUCUUAUAGCGUUGUUAGUUGCAGGUGAAGAUUGGAGUUGUUCCUUGUUGGAACAUGGAUUUUGUUGGGAUAUCACAAUAUCUCUUAUUUAAUUAAUGCACCUAUAUACUUGGUAAAGGGUGGAAGGCUCGGCCUUAUGCCUGGUGUUUUGUUCCACUCUUGCCGCCCUAGUUUCUGUUAUACCGGUAUUAUGUUCCUUGAUUUUGCGUUCCUUAUGCGGUUGGGUUAUAAUGGGAACCCCUUGACAGUUCGCUUUGAAUAAAACUCCUCCAGCAAGGCCCAACCUUGGUUUUACCAUUUGCCACCUAAUCUUUUUCCCUUGGGUUCUGCAGACUCAAGGGUCAUCUUUAUUUUAACCCCCCGGGCCAGUGCUUCUCUAAAUGUUGGUCCAACCUGAGCGAUGUCCAGCGCCCCCUGGGCAACCAGGGUUUAUGCCAACCCGACGUCUUGCUCAUCCGGUGUGCCCUGAGAACGAGAUAUGUGCAGCUCCUAUCGGGAUUUGUUGGCACAUCUGGAAGGCUUUGCUGGUCUUGUUUUACCAUUGUGGAAAUGGCUUGUAACCGGGAUUCCAAGCCUGACCGGGUCUUCCUGGGAGAAGGAAUAUCCUUCGUUGACUGUGAGAGCUUGUGAUGGGCUAAGUUGGGACACCCCUACAGGGUUUUGAACUUUCGAAAGCCGUGCCCGCGGUUAUGAGCAGAUGGGAAUUUGUUAAUGUCCGGUUGUAGAGAACUUGACACUUAACUUAAUUAAAAUGCAUCAACCGCGUGUUUAGCCGUGAUGGUCUCUUUCCGGCAGAGUCCGGGAAGUGAACACGGCGUUGGUGUUAUGCUUGAACGUAAGUAGUUUCAGGAUCACUUCUUGAUCACUUCUAGUUUACGUCCGUGCUUUGCUUCUCUUCUCGCUCUCAUUUGCGUAGGUUAGCCACCAUAUAUGCUAGUGCUUGCUGCAGCUCCACCUCAUACCUUCUCCCUACCUAUAAGCUUAAAUAGUCUUGAUCACGAGGGUGUGAGAUUGCUGAGUCCCCGUGACUCACAGAUUACUUCCAAAACCAGUUGCAGGUGCCGAUGAUACCAAUGCAGAUGCCACAACUGAGCUCAAGUGGGAGCUCGAGGAAGAUCGUGUGUGUUGAGUUGUUUCGUUUCCAGUUGAUCAGUAGUGGAGCCCAGUCGGGGCGAUCAGGGAUCUAGAAUUAGGGGUGGUCUUCUUUUAUUUUGGUUCCGUAGUCGGAUCUUGUUUGUAUUUUGGAUGAUGUAAUGCUAUAUUUAUGUAUUGUGUGAAGUGGCGAUUGUAAGCCAAUUCUCUAUCCCUUUCUUAUUCAGUACAUGGGAUGUGUAAAGAUUACCCCUCUUGUGACAUGCCUACUAUGCGGUUAUGCCUCUAAGUUGUGCUCCGACACGUGGGAGAUAUAGCCGCAUCGUGGGUGUUACAAGUUGGUAAUCAGAGCCUUCCCCGACUUAGGAGCCCCCUGCUUGAUCGAAUUGCUGGCGUUGUUGAGUCUACAAAAAUGUUUUGAGUCUUAUAGGAUUAUAUAUAUAUCGGAGAGUAGGAUUCUUUUACUCCUCAGUCCCUUCGUCGCUCUGGUGAGGCAUCCUGACGUAGAGUUUUGACUCUUCUCUUCUCAAAUUUCACUAAAAAAAAA
Molecule: long non-coding RNA, 15572 nt
Filed under: Triticum aestivum (bread wheat)
Lineage: Eukaryota; Viridiplantae; Streptophyta; Magnoliopsida; Poales; Poaceae
Description: long non-coding RNA (TAES_LNC021821)
Source: RNAcentral